UCAUAAGAUUUUAACCAUGCAUGUCUCAGUACAGGCUUUCAUACAGUGAAACCGCGAAUGGCUCAUUAAAUCAGCUAUGGUUUAUUGGAUAAUACCCGUUAAAUGGAUAACUGUAACAACUCUAGAGCUAAUACAUGCCUCGAUGCCCUGACUCUGUUCUCCUAUAGUCAUCUUCGGUGGCUGUAGUUGUAGGCAGGGGAAGGGUGCACUUAUUAGAUCAGAAGCCAACCGGCGUUGCGUGUCUACGUGCACGUGCGUUGGAGCACUUUUGGUGACUCUGGAUAAUUGUUACAGAUCGCAGUCGGCCUUGAGUCGGCGACGAGUCUUUCAAAUGUCUGCCCUAUCAACUUUCGACGGUAGGUGACAUGCCUACCGUGGUGAUAACGGGUAACGGGGAAUCAGGGUUCGAUCCGGAGAGGAGCUCUGGAAACAUUUCU
Molecule: ribosomal RNA, 437 nt
Filed under: Raillietina sonini
Lineage: Eukaryota; Metazoa; Platyhelminthes; Cestoda; Cyclophyllidea; Davaineidae
Description: SSU rRNA
Rfam family: Eukaryotic small subunit ribosomal RNA
Source: RNAcentral